UGUAGUUCAUAAUAUAUAGGUUUUCUUAUUUGAUUUAUUUUUAAACAGCAUACAAAAUGACUGUUGUCUCAGAUUUUUCCCAGGUUGCAAUCACUAGUCAGCUGAUGACAGGGAGCCUGUCUGCUUCAAUGGCUUGAGCAAUCGCUUGGUGGGAGUGAGCUCAAUCUGCAACUAAUGCAACAGCUGUAGGCACCCUGAUUGAAAACACAGGUCUUUUGAAUGGAUGCAGCUGAUUUAUGUUUUAAUGGGUCGGGUGGCUGAUGUGUGGGAGGGAGGAAAAUGGAAUUAUAGGAUUUGUAGGCAAAGAAGAAAACUCAAACAGGAAAUACCAGUUCACAAAAAGCUAGCCACAGUGUUAUGGUAAUCUCACAACAUAGCCAUUUAGCCCCAAGACAAGCGCAGAUCCUUCCUAAGCAUGUCCAUUACUGUCUGGCAGGUACGUACUAAAAUCACCUUAUGGUGGAUAACCCCUUUAAUUCUUUUAGAAUGCUGUGCAUUUUCAUUUCUUGUGCUUCUCCUUUUAUUUUCUAUAUUAAAUCUCCAUAUUCUGAGCCCUAUAACCAUACCUCCCAACCAUCCCAGAUCCGGCAGGACAUUCCCGCUAUUGGCCCCCAUAUGUCCCGCAUUUAACUGUAAAUGCCUCUUAAUGAGGCGUCUGUAGUUAAAUGCGGUGCUCGGUGGAAGGUUUGACAGAGCCAUUGGCUCCUCACCCUGUCAAUCACUCUUGUGCUCGCUGGCUCAAGUUAGCCAGAGAACACAAGAGGCCAGGCUGAGCUCUUCCUGCUUCUGCGAACGAGUGACUUCAUCAGAUGCCGGAGCACAGAGGAAGAGAAAGGAAGAGCCCAUGCUAAGGAAGCCCCCGCCGCCGGAGCCGCUGGGAAGAGGGUAAAAGAGCCGCAGAAGGCAACUAGAUAUUCAUAUGCUGCAGAGGAGGAAAGGGAUGAAGAAUAUAAUCCUGAAGAAUCUUCUGAUGAGGAAGAUUAUAGUAUUCAACAGGAGACGUAAAGUGACAGUGAGGAGGAAACAGCUGCAACAAUACAUGAAAUAACGCCGAAACGAAAAGCUCUUCUGGAAAGACUAAGAAAAAAGGCAAAACUACAUGGCGAGCUACAUGAGCACUCUUUCCAAAACGAUCCAGAGUGGCCAAGCAUCAAUGACAUCCCAGGGUUAUUCGCAAGUCCGCCUAUAGAUCCUACUCUUGUUUUGCGCAUGGAAUCCUUGGGCCUAAACGACGAAAGCCAAUACCAUCAUGUGUUGUCAAUUUUAUUAGGUCUGAAUUUCCAGAUCCUGAUGGGCAAUAUAUUGGAUUCCACUGGCCUGAUGAAUACCCAGCAAGUGACAUGGCUGCUGAUGUUUGAUUCACUAUGACACUUACUUUCUGCACUUUUCAUGUUACUACAGUUUUACAUUGCACUUUUAUUGUUUACAAUUUUUUUAUGUUUAUUUAUCUUGUUAUUUAUAUUAUAUUAAUUAGUUAUUUACAUUUUUAUGGUGGUUAUUUUAUUUUGUCUAUUUUAAUCUGUCUACACCAGUCAUUUCCUAAACGUGGUCCCUCGGCACACUGCUAUUCCAUUUGACACUUCCCAUUGUUGGAGUUUAUUUUUCCGUUGAUUUUUUUAUUUCCAGCCCUGGCAUGCUCGCUGAUGACUGACGGCGCAGGGUGGAAGGGAAGCCUGCGUGCGAACUGCGCACAGUGUCCCACUCCCCCUUGCGGCCCAGUGAGGCAAAAAUGGAGCCAUGGUGAAGAAGCUGUAAUACCUACGGUGCCACCGUCACUGCGGUGUCACCCAGGUCACCCUCUACCCACCCCAACUGUCAACCCUCCCCCCCCCCGUCCACACCCGUGUCACCAUGUUCAUCCUCCUGUCCUCACUGUCACACAUGUUCCCCCUCCCCGUCAAUCAUGUCUACCCCCUAUUCACAUCUGUCACCCAUGUACACUCCUCUACACCCCUGUUACCCAAUUACACCCCUCUGUUACCCAUGUACACUCCUCUACACCCCUCUAUAAACCAUGUACACUCCUCUACACCCCUCUAUAAACCAUGUACACUCCUCUACACCCCUCUAUAAACCAUGUACACUCCUCUACACCCCUCUAUAAACCAUAUACACUCCUCUACACCCCUCUGUCCCCCAUGUACACCCCUCUGUUACCCAUGUACACUCAUCUACACCCCUCUGUUGCCCACGUAAAAUAAUUGCGGAUCCUAAUGUGUUUGUUUUGCAUGUUUAACAGUGAAGAAUUGUGUGUGGAAUAAAUAGUCAAGAUGGCAACAAUUCAAAGUAGAGAAGAUAUUAUUUGUCAGUUGCUAUAUAAAGCAGAAAUUUUAAAUACAUACCAACUGAAAAAUAGAUAAUCCAUACUCCUUGUAUCUCGGCCAGCUGCAGCACCUGGUGUAUGAGAUAACCCCCGGUUUUCUAUAAAAUUUUACCUUGUUUAAAGGUAGUCUUAUAUGGCAUAUAAAAAAAAUAUUAAUUCCUUAGAAACUGAAUAUUUUUGAUUUACGUUUUUUUUUUAACAAUUGAUGAUUAAAAUUUAUUUUCUGUAAUGAAAACAUUUCACAAAAACAAGUAGUAAUAAUAUUUUUAAAUAAACAACACUAUAAUAAUAAACCAUUAAUAAAAAAAAGUAUUUUUUACUCAUGAAAAUAUACAUGAAUAUGCAUGUUAAACAAUAUAGCACAUAAACAAGUAUAUAGCACAUAACAAACAAGUAAAAAAUUAAAAUCUUGAGUGGUGUUUUUCAACCAUUGAUUGUUUGUCUGGUUUUUCAAUUGGUGCUAUAUUAGAAGGCAUUGUUGACCGGCGAGAGGUCCAGUCUAUGGAAAUGUUUCCAUCGGCAAGUCCCAUUACAUCCUGCAUGAUUUUCGAGACGAAUUCCUGAGUGGUUGGCUCAUACACUGAUCGUACAAACCACUCUUUCCGGGCUUUUGAAUAGGCAAGAUUGUACCUCGGUGUGCCUAAAGGUCCGCUAGUUUCAGUCUCUCUUGUAACAACUGCUUGCACUCUAUUCACAUUAUAAUUAUGGUCAAGAGCAGCAAGCUGUGUUCGAGCAUACACCCCAUCUGUACUAAAAUGAAGUCUUUUAGGCCUGUAUUUUGUUAGUGAACUAUGAAACACUUCCAGAUCUCCAGUGUGACAAAAGUUGCUAAGAUGUCUAAGGUCUUUUUGUAGUCUUGUAUCCAUGACAAUUUUUCCAAGUUCAACAUAACAGGCACUUUGUUUUUUAACCAUUUUCGGGUGGACUGAAUGUCCUCAGGGAGUUGGUCAUGAUGACAAGAUGAUUCCUGACCAUUAUGAUCCUUCCAAAAAUGAACGUUGGUGACAUGGUACAAGACAGAGUUCCAUCUGUUUACAAGUUCAUCUGGAUUGCAUUCACAAGUAUUAGAACUCCACCAUAAAUGAUUUUUAAUUGGUCCUAUCCAUUCUGCUAAAUCUUGGCAGUUUUUAGUUUUUUUUUUGCUGACGGCAAGUAGCUUUUUUCCAAUAGAUUUAGCUAAGUGCCAGACAUCAAACUGGUGACCAAUUGUUUUAUAUUCCUCACACAGCAUUUUUCUGAUGGAUACGUGCCGGUCAGUGCAAAUGAUGUCUAUGUCCACUUUAUUUUGCAGUAGAAAUUCCAAGGCAUUCUUGCACGCUAUUUUUUCAAGGGCAACAGAGGAUAAACCAAUACCGAUUUGUUGAAUGUUGAAAUUCAAUAUUUUGUUAGUUUCUACAUCCAUCAAUGUGUAUAUGCAAUAUUUUGCACUGUGCCCGGGUGAAUCACAUUGUCCAUCUCCAGCAACACAUACUGCAUGUUGUGAUAUUUUUUCCAUUUCUAAUUUUUGAUUAAUUGUCCAAGAAUUUUCAAUUGCAGGAAAUAUAUAUAUUUUUUGGAUACGGUAGUAAGUAGCCUGGCUAAUUUCCAAAAUAUUAAAUAUUUUUAGGAACUGUUGGAUUUUGAUGUAAGUGUUUCCACUAGUAAUGAUAGCAGUAGCUAACUGUAAAUUUCCAAAUGGUUUCUUUCCCAAUCGGGGCUGGCUCUGCCAUAUGCGUUUUAAAUGUUUGGCCUCGCAUUCAGCAAAGACUGAAAUAUAUGAUCCCUUUGUUUUUUUAUACACUCUUAGUAUUUUUUUGUUGCAGGGUGGAUUAGAGGUACAAGGCAUCUUGUAUAGUAAUGUGUCCAAACAGCUUUCAUAAACUAUGAAUUUUCUUUCUUCAUGAUGUGGUACAUUUACAUUUACAAAUUUUUCACUCAGCACAUGCUGACUGUCCUCUUCUUCGUAGUCUUCAUCAUCUGAAUGAACUGAGUCUCCCUCAUCAUCACUUGAACUACUUUCAUUUGUUGAGACUGGAGUUGUGAUUGUUGAUAAACUUUUAUCUACUUCUAAAACAGAUAUAGGGGCAUGCAGAGUAGAUUCCUCCACAAUAACAGUGACUUCAGGGUCUUCAAUAGGUUGUAUAGGUGAAAUUGUCAAUUCGGAUAAAAGCGUGGCAGAUAGUAGUUCGUGUCUAGCUCUACAACUUUCUUGAAACUCAGGUACACUGUUAAGAGUUGCUGAUCCAGUUGGUCCUAUAUUUUUUUUCGGAGUCGAAAAUAUUACACUGGCACCUUGCAAUGGCUCCGAAGGCAGGUUUCCAAAUACCAAGCUUUGUCUUGAUUUUUUUUUUCUCAAGAUUUUUUUUUUAA
Long non-coding RNA from Hyla sarda, 4672 nucleotides. RefSeq lists it as uncharacterized. The transcript is spliced from 5 exons. The record is from RefSeq and is a predicted model, not a curated record. Lineage: Eukaryota; Metazoa; Chordata; Amphibia; Anura; Hylidae.